AAACUUGAGAGUUUGAUCAUGGCUCAGAAUGAACGCUGGCGGCACGCUUAACACAUGCAAGUCGAACGAGAUCUUCGGAUCUAGUGGCAGACGGGUGCGUAACGCGUGGGAACCUGCCCUUUAGUAAGGAAUAACUCAGGGAAACUUGUGCUAAUACCUUAUAAUCCCUUCGGGGGAAAGCUUUAUGCGCUAAUGGAUGGGCCCGCGUUAGAUUAGCUUGUUGGUGAGGUAAUGGCUCACCAAGGCGACGAUCUAUAGCUGGUCUGAGAGGAUGAUCAGCCACACUGGGACUGAGACACGGCCCAGACUCCUACGGGAGGCAGCAGUGGGGAAUAUUGGACAAUGGGGGCAACCCUGAUCCAGCGAUGCCGCGUGAGUGAUGAAGGCCCUAGGGUUGUAAAACUCUUUCGCCAGGGAAGAUAAUGACGGUACCUGGUAAAGAAGAUCCGGCUAACUCCGUGCCAGCAGCCGCGGUAAUACGGAGGGAUCUAGCGUUAUUCGGAAUAACUGGGCGUAAAGCGAGCGUAGGCGGAUUUGUAAGUUGGAGGUGAAAUCCCAGGGCUUAACCCUGGAACUGCCUUCAAAACUACAUUUCUUGAGUUUGGUAGAGGAGAGUGGAAUUCCUAGUGUAGAGGUGAAAUUCGUAGAUAUUAGGAGGAACACCAGUGGCGAAGGCGACUCUCUGGGCCAAUACUGACGCUGAGGUUCGAAAGCGUGGGGAGCGAACGGGAUUAGAUACCCCGGUAGUCCACGCAGUAAACGAUGAGUGCUAGAUGUUGGGAACAUUAGUUUUCAGUAUCGCAGCUAACGCGUUAAGCACUCCGCCUGGGAAGUACGGCCGCAAGGCUAAAACUCAAAUGAAUUGACGGGGACCCGCACAAGCGGUGGAUCAUGUGGUUUAAUUCGAAGCAACGCGAAGAACCUUACCGGCUCUUGACAUACCAAUCGCGGAUCUAAGAGAUUAGAUCCUUCACUUCGGGUGGAUUGGAUACAGGUGCUGCAUGGCUGUCGUCAGCUCGUGUCGUGAGAUGUUGGGUUAAGUCCCGCAACGAGCGCAACCCCUACCUUCAAUUGCCAGCACGUUAUGGUGGGAACUUUGAAGGAACUGCCGGUGAUAAGCCGGAGGAAGGUGGGGAUGACGUCAAGUCCUCAUGGCCCUUACGGGCCGGGCUACACACGUGAUACAAUGGUGAUUACAAAGGGCUGCUACAGAGCGAUCUCAAGCAAAUCCUUAAAAGUCAUCUCAGUUCGGAUUGCACUCUGCAACUCGAGUGCAUGAAGUUGGAAUCGCUAGUAAUCGUAGAUCAGCGCGCUACGGUGAAUACGUUCCCGGGUCUUGUACACACCGCCCGUCACACCAUGGGAGUUGGUUUUACCUGAAGCUAGUUCGCUAACCGCAAGGAGGCAGCUAACCACGGUAAGAUUAGCGACUGGGGUGAAGUCGUAACAAGGUAACCGUAGGGGAACCUGCGGUUGGAUCACCUCCUUU
RNAcentral lists this ribosomal RNA (1489 nucleotides) under Candidatus Pelagibacteraceae bacterium. RNAcentral describes it as "bacterial SSU rRNA". It matches the Rfam family "Bacterial small subunit ribosomal RNA". Lineage: Bacteria; Pseudomonadati; Pseudomonadota; Alphaproteobacteria; Candidatus Pelagibacterales; Candidatus Pelagibacteraceae. The record is from RNAcentral.